GAGUCUCCAGAGCGAGUGCCAGG
RNAcentral lists this non-coding RNA (23 nucleotides) under Cricetulus griseus (Chinese hamster). Lineage: Eukaryota; Metazoa; Chordata; Mammalia; Rodentia; Cricetidae. The record is from RNAcentral.